RNAcentral lists this ribosomal RNA (89 nucleotides) under Edaphochlamys debaryana. Its description in RNAcentral is "large subunit ribosomal RNA". Lineage: Eukaryota; Viridiplantae; Chlorophyta; Chlorophyceae; Chlamydomonadales. The record is from RNAcentral.
UUCGGCUACAUUUUAGCGUACCUUUUGCAUUAUGGGUUGGUGAGUUAAUAAACGUGAGAUAGGCGAAAAGCUUACUGAGAUUAAAUUAU